CGAAGGGGGCUAGCGUUGUUCGGAAUUGCUGGGCGUAAAGCGCGCGCAGGCGGUUCUUCAAGUCAGAGGUGAAAGCCCAGAGCUCAACUCUGGAAUGGCCUUUGAGACUAGAGAACUAGGGUACGGGAGAGGUGAGUGGAAUUCCGAGUGUAGAGGUGAAAUUCGUAGAUAUUCGGAAGAACACCAGUGGCGAAGGCGGCUCACUGGCCCGUUACCGACGCUCAGGCGCGACAGCGUGGGGAGCAAACAGGAUUAGAUACCCUGGUAGUCCACGCCGUAAACGAUGGAUGCUAGCCGUUGGUAAGCAUGCUUAUCAGUGGCGCAGCUAACGCAUUAAGCGUCCCGCCUGGGGAGUACGGCCGCAAGGUUG
RNAcentral lists this ribosomal RNA (370 nucleotides) under uncultured organism. RNAcentral describes it as "bacterial SSU rRNA". It matches the Rfam family "Bacterial small subunit ribosomal RNA", at positions 526 to 896 of the family's 1533-position model. The record is from RNAcentral.